GGCUUUGAAGUGCGGUCGCUAGUUCGCAUGGAGCCAACGUUGAAAUACCACCCUGGUGCGUUUGAGGUUCUAACCCAGGUCCCUUAUCGGGAUCGGGGACAGUGCAUGGUAGGCAGUUUGACUGGGGCGGUCUCCUCCCAAAGCGUAACGGAGGAGUUCGAAGGUACGCUAGUUACGGUCGGACAUCGUGACGAUAGUGCAAUGGCAUAAGCGUGCUUAACUGCGAGACUGACAAGUCGAGCAGAUGCGAAAGCAGGACAUAGUGAU
RNAcentral lists this ribosomal RNA (267 nucleotides) under Mesorhizobium sp. Its description in RNAcentral is "partial 23S ribosomal RNA". It matches the Rfam family "Bacterial large subunit ribosomal RNA", at positions 2153 to 2419 of the family's 2925-position model. Lineage: Bacteria; Pseudomonadati; Pseudomonadota; Alphaproteobacteria; Hyphomicrobiales; Phyllobacteriaceae. The record is from RNAcentral.